ACCGGGUUGCCCCUCUGUCUGGGCCGGUGAUGUAGGUGGCCUUUCCCUUGCUCUGCCUAUGAUGCCCACACAGAAAAUGAGAUGGGCGUGGCCUUUGAGCUGUCAGUCAAUCUGCUGACAGCAAGAUAUCAGGAAGCUAGACUCCACCCCCCGAAACCUGACCCCUUUGCACUUCUUGGGAUAGAAUAUUCUGUGGAAUCUCCCUUUGUGUGUCCCCUCUAUCAGAAUAACGAGUUCCAGCGGCUGUCCCUCUUUCCACGGACCCCUAGGGUGGGAGGGCCAUUUCCAGAAUUUGAAAAGGUACUUCUGUGAGCUCUUCUGCUGUCUUCACUAUUUCAUUGACUUAUUGGAAUAGUCAGGUUUGUGAACCCAGCAUAAAUUGCCAGCUAGGAUAGAUGGCGACUUGAGUGUGGGAGACCCCAGGUUCCUGCGUUGAAUCCAAACCCAGGGGCUGGGGUUGGAGGUGAGACUCUAGGAGGGGCUGAGGUCUUGAGGUGCAGCCAUGAAUGGAAGGAGGGUCCUUAUCAAAGAGACCCAGAGAGCUUGCUGCCCUUCCACAUGUGAGGAACCAGGAGAAGGAGCCAUCUGUGAGCAGGAAGCAGCCCUCAGAGGCCCAGGGGGUCUGGCACACCUGGAUCUCUGGCAGCCGUCUGCAGAGCUGAGGGCAGUCGGGGUCUGUGGUCUGUAGCCACCACCCCCCUUCCCCCUGGCUGGGGUGUUUUGUUCCAGCAGCCCAGGAAGACUGAACACAGUGGCCACCAGCCCUCAGACCAGGCAAAUGACCUGAGUGUGGGUGUCCCACCCAGAAGUCUUAUAUGGAAAUCUUUACCCUCCCCCCAGGUGAUGGUGUUAGAUAGUAAGGGCUUUGGGGAGGAGAGAGGCUUGCACAGCACACUGUAGCUCCUCAGGCCAAAUGUCUUCCUGCGAUCUCCAAAUAAGAGCAAUAAAAGGGAAGCCAUCUAAACCACCCGAAUUUUAUGUUGGCAUAGAAGCAAUUUUGCAAAAACCACAUGACCCUGGAACUGAAUGUGAGUCAGAAGACAAACAGCACUGUGGGU
This 1058-nucleotide long non-coding RNA is filed under the name Marmota monax (woodchuck). Lineage: Eukaryota; Metazoa; Chordata; Mammalia; Rodentia; Sciuridae. The record is from RNAcentral.